UACGUAGGGUGCGAGCGUUGUCCGGAAUUAUUGGGCGUAAAGGGCUCGUAGGCGGUUUGUCGCGUCGGGAGUGAAAACUCGGGGCUUAACCCCGGGCCUGCAGUGGGUACGGGCAGACUAGAGUGCGGUAGGGGAGACUGGAAUUCCUGGUGUAGCGGUGAAAUGCGCAGAUAUCAGGAGGAACACCGGUGGCGAAGGCGGGUCUCUGGGCCGUAACUGACGCUGAGGAGCGAAAGCAUGGGGAGCGAACAGG
RNAcentral lists this ribosomal RNA (253 nucleotides) under uncultured bacterium. Its description in RNAcentral is "partial 16S ribosomal RNA". It matches the Rfam family "Bacterial small subunit ribosomal RNA", at positions 524 to 776 of the family's 1533-position model. The record is from RNAcentral.